Molecule: long non-coding RNA, 361 nt
Filed under: Ananas comosus (pineapple)
Lineage: Eukaryota; Viridiplantae; Streptophyta; Magnoliopsida; Poales; Bromeliaceae
Description: long non-coding RNA (ACOM_LNC031031)
Source: RNAcentral
AAAUAGUUGAUGUGCUAGAAUUGUUUCAUGUGUACAAUAUAUCAAUAUAUCAAUAUAUUAACAAUCAAUAAAAAAAUCAAUAACAGUACAGUUACAACAGUGCGUGCGUUGGAUCAUUGGUACUAGUCAUUAAUUCUAAAAGCUCGAGCUGUUAGAAAUAUACAACUAAUUCACUUAAAACGUACAGAUACAACGCCCACGGAUUUCAAUUGUGGCUCGGCUCAUUCAGCCUCACGCUACUUUGAACAUGACUGGACCCACCCAGCCUCACAUCAUUUUGAACAUGACUCAGCCCAACAUGACCUUCCGUCACAUGGCAGAAUAUUGGCCCAUUUAAGCCGACAGUGUGUACAGAGAGAUC